UAGGGAAUCUUCCGCAAUGGACGCAAGUCUGACGGAGCAACGCCGCGUGAGUGAAGAAGGAUUUCGGUUCGUAAAACUCUGUUGUUAGAGAAGAACAGCGCAUAGAGUAACUGUUAUGCGUGUGACGGUAUCUAAUCAGAAAGCCACGGCUAACUACGUGCCAGCAGCCGCGGUAAUACGUAAGGUCCGAGCGUUGUCCGGAAUCAUUGGGCGUAAAGGGUACGUAGGCGGGUAAGCAAGUUAGAAGUGAAAUCCUGUAGCUAAACUACAGUAAGCUAUUAAAACUGCUCAUCUUGAGAUGUAGAAGGGAAAGUGGAAUUCCUAGUGUAGCGGUAAAAUGCACAGAUAUUAGGGGGAAUACCGGUGGCGGAGGCGACUUUCUGGCCAUAAUCUGACGCUGAGGUACGAAAGCGUGGGUAGCAAACAGG
RNAcentral lists this ribosomal RNA (428 nucleotides) under Bacteroidota bacterium. Its description in RNAcentral is "Bacteroidetes bacterium partial 16S ribosomal RNA". It matches the Rfam family "Bacterial small subunit ribosomal RNA", at positions 355 to 776 of the family's 1533-position model. Lineage: Bacteria; Pseudomonadati; Bacteroidota. The record is from RNAcentral.